GGAGGUAGUGACAAUAAAUCUCAAUACGAAGCCUUUGGUUUUGUAAUUGAAUUGAGAACAAUGUACAAUCGUUAUCGAUAAACAAUUGGAGGGCAAGUCUGGUGCCAGCAGCCGCGGUAAUUCCAGCUCCAAUAGCGUAUAUUAACGUUGUUGCAGUUAAAAAGCUCGUAGUUGAAGUUUAGGUAAUUUGUAGAGAGUGUAAAUACCUUCGGUAUUUACUGCUCUCUUGGCAGAUUAUCGACUUCCAGGUAAGCUUGAUAAUCCUUUCGGGGACUGUCAAGCCAGACUGGUCUUUUACUGUGAGAAAAUUAGAGUGUUUAAAGCAGACUUUUAUUUAGUUUGAAUAGAUUAGCAUGGAAUAAUAAGAUUGGCUUUCAUAGUCGAUUUUUUGGUUUGUUUAUGAAAGCAAGAUUAAUAGGGACAGUUGGGGGUAUUCAUAUUCAAUAGCUAGAGGUGAAAUUCUAUGAUUUAUGGAAGAUGAACAAGUGCGAAAGCA
This 496-nucleotide ribosomal RNA is filed under the name Blastocystis sp. RNAcentral describes it as "SSU rRNA". It matches the Rfam family "Eukaryotic small subunit ribosomal RNA", at positions 460 to 953 of the family's 1831-position model. Lineage: Eukaryota; Bigyra; Opalinata; Blastocystidae. The record is from RNAcentral.